Molecule: long non-coding RNA, 863 nt
Filed under: Rattus norvegicus (Norway rat)
Lineage: Eukaryota; Metazoa; Chordata; Mammalia; Rodentia; Muridae
Description: long non-coding RNA NONRATT027173
Source: RNAcentral
GACCAAAGCUCCCCCAUACCUUACAGCCUUUCUGGUCCUCCGGGAACUCAUUCAAGGGACCCAUCAUUACACCCCAGACACCCCUGCAAUAGGGAAGCUGUCUCCUUGGAAGGCAGUAUCAGUUCCUGGGGUGCAGGGACUUCCACCUUCCUUCCCUCUGCUUAGCCUGCCAUUCCUUCAGCUUUUUGGUUUAGCUGUGGAACCAAUAGGUCAGUCUACCUCCCCUACUUUCCAGGCAGCUUCAAAGGUUUCUGGGAUGUUCUCAUUCCAGGGCCUUGCGCUUCCUAGGCAAGCGCUCUACCACUGAGCUAAAUCCCCAACCCCUGGGCUCUACUCUUGAGCACCCAACCUGUAAAGUUCCAGGCUGAGUGAACGCCCAUGCUCUUGGAGGCUGGCUUGAUGAAUUCCCGGUCGGUGAGGAAGGGGAACUACCUGGCACAGAGCUGCCUCCAGGCUCCUGACUCCCAGCCUCCUGGCUCAGCGGUCUGAGAUGAAGCUUAGUGCUGGGGUAAAAACCUUAGCCAGCAAGGACUUGACCAUUGUUUCUCCCACAUCCCGAGGUUUAUCCAGUCUCUGGAUUCUCUGACUGAGACUCAGGGUUUUCAAAACCCUUUCCAGGAGAGUGAGGGAUGCCUGAAGGCACUUCAUAUGGUGCCCUGGCUCAGGACCCAGCACCCAGGUCUCCCAGCAGUCACCCGGUUCCCACUGCCUCUUCCCUAUGAAGCAGCCGGGGAACCUGAUAAGACAAGCUUUGUCCUCUUCCUUUCCCCGUGAAAAAGCCUCCCGUGGUUUCUACUUUACUUGCAAUAAAAUCUCAGCUCCUUUCUGUGGCUUGGGAGCCCCAGGAAGACUGACACAGACAU